RNAcentral lists this ribosomal RNA (253 nucleotides) under uncultured bacterium. RNAcentral describes it as "partial 16S ribosomal RNA". It matches the Rfam family "Bacterial small subunit ribosomal RNA", at positions 524 to 776 of the family's 1533-position model. The record is from RNAcentral.
UACAGCGGUGGCAAGCGUUGUUCGGAAUUACUGGGCGUAAAGGGCGCGUAGGCGGCCAUCUAAGUCAGCCGUGAAAUCCCCCGGCUUAACCUGGGAACUGCGUCUGAUACUGGACGGCUUGAGUAUGGGAGAGGGAUGUAGAAUUCCAGGUGUAGCGGUGAAAUGCGUAGAUAUCUGGAGGAAUACCGGUGGCGAAGGCGGCAUCCUGGGCUAACACUGACGCUCAUGCACGAAAGCGUGGGGAGCAAACAGG